RNAcentral lists this ribosomal RNA (292 nucleotides) under uncultured bacterium. Its description in RNAcentral is "partial 16S ribosomal RNA". It matches the Rfam family "Bacterial small subunit ribosomal RNA", at positions 775 to 1067 of the family's 1533-position model. The record is from RNAcentral.
GGAUUAGAUACCCUGGUAGUCCACGCUGUAAACGCUGAGAACUAGACGUGUGCUUUUUGAGGAGUGCGUGUCGCAGCUAACGUAGUAAGUUCUCCGCCUGGGGAUUACGGUCGCAAGAUUAAAACUCAAAGGAAUUGACGGGGGCCCGCACAAGCGGUGGAGCAUGUGGUUUAAUUCGAUGCAACGCGAAGAACCUUACCUACUCUUGACAUCCUGUGGAGCUUGCUGAGAAGCGAGUGUGCCGAAAGGAACGCAGAGACAGGUGCUGCAUGGCUGUCGUCAGCUCGUGUUG